AAUGAACGCUGGCGGCGCGCCUAAUACAUGCAAGUCGAGCGAGAAGGACGUAGCAAUACGUUUGUAAAGCGGCGAACGGGUGAGGAAUACAUGGGUAACCUACCCUCGAGUGGGGAAUAACUAGCCGAAAGGUUAGCUAAUACCGCGUACGCUCCUUGGACUUCGGUUCAGGGAGGAAAGCGAUACCGUGGGUAUCGCGCUCUUGGUUGGGCUCAUGUCCUAUCAGCUUGUUGGUGAGGUAACGGCUCACCAAGGCUUCGACGGGUAGCUGGUCUGAG
RNAcentral lists this ribosomal RNA (278 nucleotides) under uncultured bacterium. Its description in RNAcentral is "partial 16S ribosomal RNA". It matches the Rfam family "Bacterial small subunit ribosomal RNA", at positions 29 to 296 of the family's 1533-position model. The record is from RNAcentral.